CCUACGGGAGGCAGCAGUAAGGAAUAUUGGUCAAUGGAGGAAACUCUGAACCAGCCAUCCCGCGUGAAGGAUGAAGGGGCUCUGCCUUGUAAACUUCUUUUGUCUGGGGCGAAAAAGCUCGAUUUAUCGAGAACUGACGGUACCAGAAGAAUAAGCACCGGCUAACUCCGUGCCAGCAGCCGCGGUAAUACAGAGGGUGCAAGCGUUAUCCGGAUUCACUGGUUUGAAGGGGUCCGAGGGCGGCAUUGGUGAAAGGCUGUGGCUUAACCAUGGAAUUGCCAUUGAAACUGCAGAGCUUGAAUGAGGUUGAGGUUGGCGGAAUGUGACAUGUAGCGGUGAAAUGCUUAGAUAUGUCAUGGAACACCGAUUGCGAAGGCAGCUGACUGGACCUAUAUUGACGCUGAGGCACGAAAGCGUGGGGAGCGAACAGGAUUAGAUACCCUAGUAGUC
Molecule: ribosomal RNA, 450 nt
Filed under: uncultured bacterium
Lineage: Bacteria
Description: partial 16S ribosomal RNA
Rfam family: Bacterial small subunit ribosomal RNA
Source: RNAcentral